This 73-nucleotide transfer RNA is filed under the name Mus musculus (house mouse). Its description in RNAcentral is "tRNA-Asn". The record is from RNAcentral. Lineage: Eukaryota; Metazoa; Chordata; Mammalia; Rodentia; Muridae.
GGCGAAAUGGCUCAGUGGUUAAGAGUGCCGACUGUUCUUCCGAAGGUCCUGAGUUCAAAUCCCAGCAACCACA